Molecule: transfer RNA, 63 nt
Filed under: Rattus norvegicus (Norway rat)
Lineage: Eukaryota; Metazoa; Chordata; Mammalia; Rodentia; Muridae
Rfam family: tRNA
About the family: Transfer RNA (tRNA) molecules are approximately 80 nucleotides in length. Their secondary structure includes four short double-helical elements and three loops (D, anti-codon, and T loops).
Source: Rfam by way of RNAcentral
GGGGACUUAGCUCAGUGGUAGAGCACUUGCCUAGCAAGCGCAAGGCCCUGGAUUCAGUCCCCA